Long non-coding RNA from Apis dorsata (giant honeybee), 1030 nucleotides. RefSeq lists it as uncharacterized. NCBI's taxonomy places the organism in Eukaryota, Metazoa, Arthropoda, Insecta, Hymenoptera, Apidae. The record is from RefSeq and is a predicted model, not a curated record. The transcript has 3 exons.
CAAUAAUACAAUAAUACAACAUUUUUUGAAAACUUGAUAGAUUAAUAUGUUAAUAAAAUCUACAACAACUUUGAGAUAUUAAAAAAAAGAAUAUAACUUAAAAGAAAAUUGAGAGACACUGAUCUCUCAACUCUGAUCCAAGAGUAAAGUCAAUUUCGAAACAAUAUCUUCUGUUCUCAGUAGAAACCUGGCAUCAAGCACGAAGACAAACCUAAAUUUCACUAUUGCUAACUUGAACAAACGGCAACAUACGUUAAUACUCUGAGGACACAAAGCGAUAUCAAAGUCCGAAAGCUGAACAUUGCUGUACCACAAAGUAGAGUCUUCUGACUUGUCAACUACAGAUUGAGCGCUGUACAUUCCCGGUUGACUUCUAAAGGACUGGCAUACAAUCGCUGGAAGUGGAUACUGUAUUCAGCCAGACGGCUGUCAUCCAGCUGUACCCUGGCGAUUAGCUCCAAUCACAAGAAGAAUCAUUCUCCAUAAUUUUUAUCAGUGAAAAAUCAAAAUCCCUAGGGGAUUCUUAGAUAAAUCUUUCCAAACAACUUACGAUCUUUGAAUCAUACAACUUUUGAAGAUUACUGUAUAUACAUAUAGAUAUGCAAAAUUUAAAGCUCAAGAGUUAUACAGUUCCAUAAUUCCACCCACGCCAAGAAUCAUUUUCAAGUACCACCCUCGCCUAUCACAAUCGCCUACGCAGCAAAUUAAAAUUCUUAAACGAGAAAUUGUACAAAUCUUUCUAAACCGGAAGCGGCAACCACUGUCCAAACGUUCCAUCACGUUGCACUGAAACGAGUGGUUAGUUAACCUUGACGAUGAGACCUUUGAUUACUGUCAAACACUGCCUACGUGUUCAUUACAAGAUUCGAUUUCACGAUGUUAAGAUCAGGAUUAACAACGAAGCAUUUCGAUACAAACUUUUAUCCUAAUGUUAAAAUUUUCGAAGAAAUUUCGAUUUUAUGAUUUUUUCACUAUUCUUAUAAUUUUCCUUACUUAAUUUCGUAAUAUCAAUACAACAAAAUUUCAAGAU